AUCGCCCCGUCUCUCACGAAUAUAAUAGCUAGGCGGAGCGGACAGAGCCAACCACGCGGGAGGCGGCGGCGACGGAGGGACUGAGGAAGAGAGCCGUGUCCGGCGGCCUGGAGCGUCCUGACGGCCGCAGCGGGGAUGGCCCAUGCCCGCCGAUCUGCUCGUCAACUACGACCUUCCUCCUCCAGGAAAACUCUAGGGCCUUUUCCCAAAUAGAUUGGAGAGUGCCGGGAAGGGCGGCGACCGCAACUACAACCUACGGCGGAGGAGAAACUAACCGCGAGCGACGGAGAACUGGCGGUGCUGCUCAUGCUCGACUCAGCGGUGCUCUCGGUGCACCACCGAUGGGUGAUGAUGCUUGAGCUAAGAACUCUGUGCUCAGAGCCACCGGUGGCGGCUGAGUAAGGGCACUGGUGCGGUGGAGGUACAUCUCCUCCCUUUAUUCAUCCCUCCCUCUCUCCCUGCCCCCUCCCUCUCUCUUCCCCAGUGGGAUCGCCGUGAGCCCGUGACCGUGGACCGGCCGGGUGGGACUCCAGCGGCGAGGAACGGAGAGCACCGGUGCUCUGUUGGCGAAUGCAUGUUGCGGGUACAGGGAGACCUCCGGCAAUGGGAAAUGGAUAGAGCUUUGGCAGAUAACCCUGUUCUCAUGUGAACAAAAUUUCAUCUCUCUUGAAUUUUUGUGUGCAAAUAGCAGAGGAACACCGCUGCUGACAGGAUUCUUAUGACUACCAGCAGAUCAACCCUUCUCAUGCGUUUGUUGCCAAGGAUAUGCAUGCAGCGAAGUGGAGGUUCCGCCAUUUUAAGAGGUGGGAUUAAUGUUGUUGUACUGCUUGAUUAGGAGUAUGCAACACUAUAUUUUGAUGUAUACUACAGUAUUAUUUUGUUGCUGGUAAACAUUAUUUCCAUCUAAUGUUUUAUUCAGAGGCAAAGAAAAUUAUGCUAACAAGGAGUUUAUUUUGUCGGUUUUUAAAUGGAGCACAAAUAUAAGACAUGUUCUUCAUCAACGAUAGGAAUUUUAAUAUGUAAAGGUCAGUAAAAAAGAAUGCACAUAAAAUGCUACUCUUUUUUUAGUUGGUAACAUUGUAUACAGAAUUUGAAUCUAAAUUAUUGGAAUUCAUUGUUCCAUAUUGGAAGUUCCUCAAGAGCUUGAAUAAUCCAAUUUGCGGUUCAAGAUAUACCCUAAUUUCUUUCUUUCUUUGGAUUCCGGUGGACAUGUCAUAGGUGUAGAUGGGCUUGACCAAGCCAUGAAAUCAACUUCAUUUAUGCACAAGUUUUUUAGUAGAUAUUUUGUCAACAUAUGAAUGGUGCUUGCUUCUUGCGUCCAAAGAUGAUUCACUCCUUUGUUGCUUCAAAUUAGGCUCGAACCAACCAUGCCUACAGUGAACACAUCAUAAUUAUGAGAUGAUUUUAUUGUGUUCAAUUGAUUUUCAUAAUAGGCUGUUUGGCAUUGUUGUUGCUAAUUUCUCUGACCCUGAUUUUUAUAGCAUGCCAUUUUACACCGUCGGCCUCGCGAACCAACCGUACCUACAGUAAGCACAUCGCUGUUAUUGGCUGAAUUUUUUUGUAUUCCAUUGAUUUUCAUAACAUGCUGUUAUUUUGCUAAUUUCUUUGACAUUGAUUUUCAUACCAUGUUGUUUCACACCGUCGGCCUCGCCAUACUCAGCCAGGUUGCCACGGGAAGGCGUCAGGAGUUCCAUACGAACGGGUUGACUAUGGGUGUGGGCAUGGGUACCUCAGAGAAGGGCUCCACUCUUUCAGACCUAAGUAUUCUUUACCUAAUAAAAGAUCCAUGCAUGCACUGCUAUAUAUUUGGUUUAACUCAUAUUACAAGUAUGCAUCUAUAUAUGUUCCCAAACCAGUGAACCCCUUCCUGUGUGUGAAGAUUAUGCAUGCCUUUCACAUUGCCGCUUCCCAUUGCCCGUUGGUACCUGCCUCGGAUGGUUUCACCAUUGCCAAACCUAUUGUAGUCGUGCACAACAUACUUCACUGAAAUCUUCGUAGCUUUGUGGAAUUUUGCUGAAACCAAUGUUACUAUUUGAGCAUUGGGAGUGAAGUUAUUCUCUUCCUAUGAUGUACACGCCAGAGACGUUUGAUGAAAGGAAAUUCUAUCAUGAUCUUUUAUAGAGCUACAAAUGAAUCUUUACCAAAGUUUUUAUGUAGGCAAUUGUUUGCUCUGCUUGAAACUGUAAGGUCGGUAUUUUGAUUUGUUUUUUUCUUCUUAACUGCAGAUUUGUCACCAACUAUUACGUACAUAUAUUGUGUUACUGCUAAUUUCUCUGACAUUUUAAUAAAAUAAAAAUAAUGAUUAUCUGAAAGUGCCUUUAAUUAAUCUAAUGAAAAACUUCUCCUUCAAUGCGAUAUACAAAACUUCAUCUGAACCAUCAUUGCUAUCAUGAUCCAGAGUUUUGCUACACAUUCAAGGUACUGAGAACGCCCUAAUUGCUAAUACUUUGGAGGCAUGCUGUGUAAUUGUAAUAAUUAUCAAUGAUAAGGUCUUACAUAUUUUGUACUGUUCAGGUCCUUCAAUGGGUAUAUUGUGCGUCAAAGGUCCUGUUCAUCUGUAACAAAUUCCGUUGUAGACUGAGUCGUAUGUGUUCUUCAAUCUAUUUUCAUGUUGUUUUCUUGGGCCUUAGUGUUUUGAUUCUUGGGCGUUUUGACAAAUGCUUCACAAAUGAAGCUCAUGUUAACAAUUUCAGAGGUGUAGGUUGGUCUGCAGCUCAUGUGGGCGGAGGAGAAGCAUGCUUCAGUUUGUCCCACAAAAGUAGUUGCCUCAAUCCUUGCUGUCACCGUCGGAGACGAAACUUGGUGGAAGCACACGGCUGAAUGGAAUCCAAUGGAACCAAUGUUGCAGCUAUAGCAUCCUACAUUUAGUGAUUCGUCUUUAAUUCGGUCAUAACAAUUGUAUCAUCUAUAUUAUUUCACUUGCAUCAUUCCCUUCCAUUGGUGUUGUAGCUGGUACUUGCCAGUCUCUAUGGAACAUAGGUAUAACUGCAGUGAGUGAGAAGAGUACAUGAUUGUAGGUUGCAACUUGCUAAUUAUGUGGCGUGUUCAUGUGUGCGUAUUGUAGUUACCUGAACCGUGUAAAAAUGGACACAUUUUUCUAGAAUAUUAAGCUAUGUAAAUUAUGUAUAGAUGGAUAACUAUGUAAAUUACACAACUAUUUUGCUGGAAAGUGAGACGUGCGUUGCACGUGCAAGCUAAU
Triticum aestivum (bread wheat) is the source of this 3199-nucleotide long non-coding RNA. RefSeq lists it as uncharacterized. Lineage: Eukaryota; Viridiplantae; Streptophyta; Magnoliopsida; Poales; Poaceae. The transcript has 3 exons. The record is from RefSeq and is a predicted model, not a curated record.